CUUAGCCAAGUCUGGUAAGGCAAUUGACUGCAACUCAAUGAUCGAGGGUUCGAAUCCCCCA
Molecule: transfer RNA, 61 nt
Filed under: bovine gut metagenome
Rfam family: tRNA
About the family: Transfer RNA (tRNA) molecules are approximately 80 nucleotides in length. Their secondary structure includes four short double-helical elements and three loops (D, anti-codon, and T loops). Further hydrogen bonds mediate the characteristic L-shaped molecular structure. tRNAs have two regions of fundamental functional importance: the anti-codon, which is responsible for specific mRNA codon recognition, and the 3' end, to which the tRNAs corresponding amino acid is attached (by aminoacyl-tRNA synthetases). tRNAs cope with the degeneracy of the genetic code in two manners: having more than one tRNA (with a specific anti-codon) for a particular amino acid; and 'wobble' base-pairing, i.e. permitting non-standard base-pairing at the 3rd anti-codon position.
Source: RNAcentral